RNA transcript from Musa acuminata AAA Group (dessert banana), 1248 nucleotides. RefSeq lists it as uncharacterized. Lineage: Eukaryota; Viridiplantae; Streptophyta; Magnoliopsida; Zingiberales; Musaceae. The transcript is spliced from 4 exons. The record is from RefSeq and is a predicted model, not a curated record.
CUUCUCCAUGCUAUCUUAUCAUUGAGUACGCUUGUUGUCACUCUAAGCUUCUGUUUUCAUCACGUAGCUCUCAUGCAAUGCAACUGAGCACCAAACUAGUUGGAUUCAUCUUGCUUGUUCUGAACUUUAUUUAGGUCAAUACUCUGUGAGAUUGCUGGCACAGACUUGAUUACAACUCCCUUUUCUUUAGGAACACAAUGUUGUACCCUUCAGGUGUAUGCCAUUUUGUCUCUGUGAUUGAUGCUGGCUAUCCUUGUAUCAGCUUUACUAAUAAUACCCUAGGUUUCCUGCCAAAACUUGUAUUGUAGAAGAUGAGCUCAAGCUGAUGAGCAAGAAACACAGAGAGAUUCCUAUGUUCAUGAACUCUCAAACCAUGGCAGAAACCCCACUCAUGUCUGGAAGUAGAAAUGCUGGAGUGCACUAUGAUUGGGUGAUUUUGAGCUCAGUAUACAAACAAUUGCCUCCAAUUUAAUCCACCAGUCAGCCAAGCUUUCAUAUAGACAAUACUGGACACACAGUUGAUCCGGAAGCUGGAAAACCUCAUCCAGUGACUCUCGAUCAAGCAAAAAUGAAUGAAUCCCAAACAGGGGAAGUCUUCAUCAAGAUUGGACCUUACGGAACUGCGAACGGCGAUGAAUGGGAUGAUGGGUGCCUUGAUGGAGUAAGAGAGAUCUUCAUAUGGCAUGACUCAAAAGCAUGUUCACUUCAGUUUGUGUAUGAUUCUGAUGGACAAUCGGUGUUGUCGGACAAGCAUGGAGAUGAAGAUGGAGUGAAUUUUGACACGAUUGAACUGGAAUACCCUUCGGAGUAUCUGACAGGCCUACGCGGUCAGACCCGGAGAUUCCAUGGAUUUUUGACUUCCCUCAUGUUCUUCAGCAACAAAAGAAGUUUUGGGCCCUUUGGAUACUGGGAUAAUGACAGAGAAGCUGACUUCCAAUGGAAGGUGAUGGGCAACAAAAUUUGUGGGUUUUUUGGGCGAGCUCAACCCUCUUCCCUCACUGCUGUGGGCAUUCAUCUCAGAGCCCUGCCCAAAACUUCAUGAAUGAAUGAAGCUGAUGAGAUCUGUAGGAGUUGGUGUGAAGACCAUCAGUGCGACAGCUUCACUUCGUGUCAGUUUCGUCUCACACUCGUGUGCCUGACUACAUGGUGUUCUGUUCUUUCAACUCAGUUUGCUGGUGUUCAAGUUCAGAAUCUUUAUCAUAAACUAUUAAAAGCUUUUACCAAAUAAGUUAAUGGAUACCUUAGACA